Molecule: ribosomal RNA, 301 nt
Filed under: uncultured bacterium
Lineage: Bacteria
Description: partial 16S ribosomal RNA
Rfam family: Bacterial small subunit ribosomal RNA
Source: RNAcentral
CAGCAGCCACGGUAAUACGUAGGUGGCAAGCGUUGUCCGGAAUUAUUGGGCGUAAAGGGCUCGCAGGCGGUUUCUUAAGUCUGAUGUGAAAGCCCCCGGCUCAACCGGGGAGGGUCAUUGGAAACUGGGAAACUUGAGUGCAGAAGAGGAGAGUGGAAUUCCACGUGUAGCGGUGAAAUGCGUAGAGAUGUGGAGGAACAUCAGUGGCGAAGGCGACUCUCUGGUCUGUAACUGACGCUGAGGAGCGAAAGCGUGGGGAGCGAACAGGAUUAGAUACCCCCGUAGUCCCUGUCUCUUAUAC